CUGGUUGCUGCCCAUACUUGGCACAAAAGUUUAUCCAAUCAGACCGCCUAAUGCAAAUAACUUUCAAAAAGUUUCAACUUCAGUGGCUCCGACAGCCACUCUACUUCAAAGGCUCAUCCACACUCGCAUACCAAAGCAAGGAUCUCCUGGAAUAUUCUCUACUCCCCAGAUACCAACUUCUGAAGCAUUUUCUCUGAACUCUUAUUCCCUCUACCGAGUGGAAAAGAGGAGUCAAGAUGAGACAGUGCAAAAGCCCUGAAGGAGGACUUUGCUGGAUAUACUGGGAAAAUAAAGAGCAAGCCAGGGCAGCUGGAA
Suricata suricatta (meerkat) is the source of this 315-nucleotide long non-coding RNA. RefSeq lists it as uncharacterized. NCBI's taxonomy places the organism in Eukaryota, Metazoa, Chordata, Mammalia, Carnivora, Herpestidae. The record is from RefSeq and is a predicted model, not a curated record. The transcript has 2 exons.